Molecule: unclassified non-coding RNA, 90 nt
Filed under: Pseudomonas prosekii
Lineage: Bacteria; Pseudomonadati; Pseudomonadota; Gammaproteobacteria; Pseudomonadales; Pseudomonadaceae
Source: RNAcentral
UGUGGGAGCGAGCUUGCUCGCGAUGACGGUCUUGCAUUCAGGAUCAAGGUUGACUGACCGGACGCUAUCGCGAGCACGCUCGCUCCCACA